UUUUUUUUUUUUUUAAUUUGACACCCAAAGCAAAAGCAACACAAGCAAAAAUACACAUCAAACUCAAAAGCUUCUGUAUAGCAAAGGAAACCAUCAACAGAAUGAAAAGGCAGCCUACUGAAUGGGAGAAAAUAUUUGCAAGUCAUAUAUCUAAAAAUAUAUUUAAAAACUCAUAUAACUCAGUAACAAAAAUACCCCCACAAAAUCUGAUUUAAAAGUGGGCAGACGAUCUGAAUAAACAUUUUAAUAAGUUUUUUUUUUCCAAGGAAAACAUACAGAUUGCCAACAAGUAGACAAACAGGUACGCAACAUUACCAAUUAUCAGGUAAAUGCAAAUCAAAACCACAGGAUAUAAACUCACACCUAUUAAAAUGAGUAUCAUCAAAAAGACAAGAAAUAUCAAGCAUAGGUGAGGAUGUAGAAAAAAGGGAACACUUGUAUAUUGGUGAUGGGAAUGUAAAUUGGUGCAACCAUCAUGGAAAAUAGUGCAGAGGUCCCUCCAAAUAUUAAAAAUAGAACUAUCGUAUGAUCCAGCAUUUCCUCUUCUGGGUGUUUAUCCAAAGGCAAUGAAAUUGUUAGCUUGAGAAGAUGCAUGCACCGUCAUGUUCACUGCAGUGUUGUUAACGACAGCCCAUAUAUGGAAACACACAAUGGAAUAUUACUCAGCCAUUAAAAGGAAAGAAAUAAUAGCAUUUGCGGCAACAUGGAUGCACCUAGAAAUUAUCAUGCUAAGUGAAGUCAGUCAGACAAUGAGACACCACCAUCAAAUGCUAUCAUGGACUUACAAGUGGAAUCUAAAAAAAGGACAAAAUGAACUUCGCAGAAGAGAUACUGACUCACAGACUUUGAAAAACUUAUGGUUUCCAAAUGAGACAGGUUGGGGGGUUGGGAGGAUGCACUGAGGGUUUGGGAUGGAAAUGCUAUAAAAUUUGGUUGUGAUGAUUGUUGUACAACUAUAAAUGUAAUAAAAUUCAUUGAGUAAUUAAAAAAACAACAGAAAGACACAAAAUUACAAUACCAUUGCAAAAUAGCUGUCUCAAUUCUAAGAAAAUAAAUUCGAAAAUCUGAAAAAAGAAACAAUCUCUGUGUCCAUAAAUAAAUAAAUGGAUAAAGAAAAUGUGGUUUAUACAUAUGGUAAAAUAUUAUUCAUCUAUGAGAAAGAAAUUCUGCCGUUUGCAAAUAACAUGGACCUUGAGGGCAUUAGGAUAGGUGAAAUAAGUCAGAGAAAGACAAAUAUGUGUUAUCACUUGUAAGUGGAAUUUAAAAACAAAAAACUAAAAACACUUAUAGAAACAGAGAACAGAUGGGUGGUUUCUGGGAUUGGGAUGGGGGGAGUGUUAAGAGGUGGGUGAAAAGAAUAAAGGUGAUCAAAAGAUACAAGCUUUUCAUUAUGAGACAAAUAAGUACAGCACGGUGCCUGUAAUUAACCACACUAUAUCGCGUAUUUGAAAGUUGCUAAGCGAGCAGAUCUUAAAUUUUCUCCUCAAAAGAAAAACAAUUUAACUGCGUGAUGAUGGAUGUUUACUAAACUUCUUGGGUUGAUCAUUUUGCAAUGUACGCAUGUCAAAUUAUGAUGCUGUACACAUAUGCAGGGUUAUGUGUCAAUUAUUUCUCAAUUUUAAAAAAUCUGAGCCAGUGCAGAUAAACUGUGAUCUAGAUUAAGUCACAAACAUGGAUUAAAAAAUGUUGGUGUUUAUCCUUUAAAAAAAAAAAAAGAAUGAGUUCUCAAGAUGCUUGCUGUAAAGUGCUGUGUACAUACGCUCUUUCUAUUGUAAAUAGCCUCCUGCAAAGCACUAGAUGGUUUGACAUUAGCGUCAAUGAUUUUUUUUCCCCAAAAUGUCUUGUUCUCUACGUCAUGAGGCCCAGGAUUAUUUUAUGUUUAUUUUAGCACAUUUCUACAGGGUAAGUAAUGUGCUAUUACAACUAAAUUAAAAAGUGGAGUGCUUUUGCACUGACCAUAAUGGUUGUACUUGGCAUAGCUACGAACUUUAAAAAAAAAAAUUAAAAUUAGAGUAUUUUUUCUUCUCUUGUCUCCCUUAAGAAGGCAGUGAAAGGCCGGAAAGCCAUCGUGUUGGAACUGGAAAAUUAAUCACAUCAAAUAUUCUUUUAUACUAAUGAAGCUGUAUGUAAGUCUGGAAGUGGCUUAUAUAAAACAUGUUUACAUUCUUACUCUCCUUUGGUACAAAUGUCAAGAGAAGGAAGCGCAGAAUGACUAUGUCAUGGCUUGCUUUGGGGAAUGUAACACCCUAUGGUUACUUUUGUAAUGAAGACACAAAGCCUGUGAUCAGCAAGGGGGACAGCCAGAGAGGGAAACGCACAGCAACCUAGACUCCUGCUCCUUAUGCAGGUAAACCUCCUAGUGUCUGUAACUGAAUGGGAAGUAUGCUGCCUAGAGAAGAGGGGAAUUGGCUCACAGCAGGUGGGAGAGGAAGAUUCUGGUUUGUGUUUCAGUUUUGAGCUCUUUAUAAGAACCUCAACUGUGCACGCCCUCCUAAAAUAAAACCAAGAAGACUACACGUUCAGUCUACCUCUGGCGACCUGGGGAGAAGUUUUGAAACUUAACUGAAAGCUAAUGGAGAAGAGAGAUUUGAACCAAGAAUAACUCAGCUUACCUUUCUGGAAAAAAAAAAAAAGGAAGAAAUUAAAAAUUGUCCUCAAGGACCUCUCAAACCUCCAUCCUCUCCCGCCAGGUAGCUGCUGCCCCC
This 2705-nucleotide long non-coding RNA is filed under the name Sus scrofa (pig). Its description in RNAcentral is "lncRNA (ENSSSCG00060044476.1)". The record is from RNAcentral. Lineage: Eukaryota; Metazoa; Chordata; Mammalia; Artiodactyla; Suidae.